CACACUGAUGUUCAAAACUGUCAAUUUAGGAUUGCGGUUGGUAAUCCUCCUCUAAUGCAUAUAUUAAGCACAUUGCGUGACUACUUACAUAAAAAUUAGAGUAUUUCCUCUUAAAAUUGAACCAAAAAAAAGAAAAAAUAACUCUUUAUCUUCUUGCGAUGUGAAUGAUCCUUAGCAACAGCUUGAGUGGAAGCUCGACAAAUGCAGGACUAUGUAUAACACAUAUCAAGUUUAGUGGAAGCUUGAUUGGUUCAGGCUUUGCUUUUAUUCUUCAAGUGUGAGGCUUUAAGAGCUAGGGGCCGCAAAACAAAAAACGUGAGUGGGCAAAAACAAAUGUUUUACAAAAUCAUUUCAUUUAUCAACAUAACUAACCCCUCGCUGUAAAACAUGUAUAAUUUUUCCCAGAAUCAAGAUAUAAGCAUAUAUAUAUAUAUAUAUAAUCAUAUCAAUUCAAUUAAUGCUACACAUAAUCAUAUUCAUAUGUAUGCUAUGCCACGAUAUAACAGAGUAAGCAAUUCAGGUAAGAAUAAUUUCAUAGAAAUAUAACGUGUUAGUCGGAAUCCCUGUGGUAGUCUGUACGGCUGAAUUCAUAGCUCAAAGUUACUCUAGCCGGAGUCACUAUCAUGACCUAUACGGCAACAUACUGCACAAGAGUCGGAACCAAACAAACAAGUCUAUACGACAAUAAUGGGUGUAAUACAAUCAUGCUCAAUUCUACUCUCACAUAAUAGCUAGGCGAUAAAUCGUUAGUUACCAACGAGUCCGAACCAUAAAUAAGGUCUGUACGACAAGACUGUGCACCUAAAUUGGAUACAAUAUGAGCAUAUGGUGCGGGAGGUGACAUAAUAAACAAGCCUCUGUCAUAACUCUGGCUAAAUCACAAUCACCCUAAGUGCAGUUUUAUGAGCUCAACAUUAAUCAAUCACAUAUUACCUCAUCGAUGAUUCACAUACCUGAGCUUACCUGAGCGUCCACAGCACCACAUUUAUAUAUAUAAAGCAUCACAUACCAAAUCAUGUAUGAAUUAUAAACUUAUAUGCAUGACAUUAAGGCAUACUAUCAUUUAAACACAUUUUUCUGGGAAAAUAUCAAGUAUAUAAUAUAUACUGAAAACCAAAAGCCAACUCACUGGUAUGUCGAAGGGUCGUAGCCCCCGAGUCGCCCUUGGAUACGCUCGUUCUCGGGAUAAGUCUCACCUAUAUGCAAAUUAACUAUAAAAACGUUAUUUUAAAGCACAUAGGCAAAACUAGCUAAUAACUUCUCAUACAUAGCUGAAAAUGGAUAUAUGAACAUACCACAGUGACCUACACAACCUCAGGAUCAUCUCCAUAUUUUUAGAUAAAAUUUUCAAGCUCCCACGCACUGGCAAGUGCACGGCAAAACGCGCUCUCCACGCUCGGCCAUGUGCCAGGCACAUGUGACGGAACAGGAAUGGCGUUAGGAAUAUUCCUUUUUAAAACCCAAUGGUAACCGUCCAACUAACUGACGGCGUUAGCAUAUUCUGUCAAAACUGACAGAAUAUUCCCCUGUCUUCUCCGGCGAGUCGUCGAUUGUCAGUGACUUCGCCGGUUUUUGGAAAAAUAUUAAAAUCGUCCUAACUUCUUCAUUUUUGCACCAUUUUUCAUGAAAUUGGUACCAAAAUGAAGCUAAUAACAUGUAGAAUCACGUUACACAAGUUUCAAGGCUUAAAUUCUACUAGAUUUUUCCUGAGAAAGGUCGAUAGCUCGGCUUACCUAGAAACACGUCGAUCUCAGUCAUCCGACGUCCAAAUCCUUCCAACGAAGUACCCCUAGACUCAUGAGGACCUCUUUAAGCUUCCUAUGUCCUUAGAAUUCCCUGAAACAUAAGGUUUUACGUGUGCAUGAACAGUGCACAAAAUCGGGGUUAGGAUUUCUCGGGUUCUCGAAGCAUUCACGUCCAAACAAGGGUACCAAUAUACUCAGGAGGUUACAAUGAGCAAAAACCUUAC
RNAcentral lists this long non-coding RNA (1969 nucleotides) under Malus domestica (apple). RNAcentral describes it as "long non-coding RNA (MDOM_LNC003617)". Lineage: Eukaryota; Viridiplantae; Streptophyta; Magnoliopsida; Rosales; Rosaceae. The record is from RNAcentral.